GCACCACAAGGCGUGAAGCUUGCGGUUCAAUUGGAGUCAACGCCGGGAACCUUACCGGGGGCGACAGCAGGAUGAAGGCCAGGUUGAUGGUCUUGCUGGACGAGCUGAGAGGAGGCGCAUGGCCGUCGUCAGUUCGUGCCGUGAGGUGUCCUCUUAAGUGAGGUAACGAUCGAGACCCGCGCCCCUUGUUGCUAACAGACUCCAUCGGGGUCUGUGCACACUAGGGGGACCGCCGUCGAUAAGACGGAGGAAGGAGCGGGCCACGGCAGGUCAGUAUGCCCCGAAUCCCCCGGGCCACACGCGAGCUGCAAUGGCAGGGACAAUGGGUGUCGACUCCGAAAGGAGGAGGUAAUCUCUAAACCCUGCCUCAGUUGGGGUGGGGGGGGGAAACCCGUCCUCGUGAAUAUGGAAUGCCUAGUAAUCGCGCGUCAUCAUCGCGCGGUGAAUACGUCCCCGCUCCUUGCACACACCGCCCGUCGUUCCAUCCGAGUGGGGUUUGGGUGAGGCGUAGUCCUUGGUGGCUGCGUCGAACUCAGGUUCCGCAAGGAGGGAA
RNAcentral lists this ribosomal RNA (553 nucleotides) under uncultured archaeon. RNAcentral's name for it is "bacterial SSU rRNA". It matches the Rfam family "Archaeal small subunit ribosomal RNA", at positions 876 to 1429 of the family's 1478-position model. The record is from RNAcentral.